CACCGGCAAUAGUCUGUUUGUAACACUCCGUCUGUUGAAAAGUUCACGAAAAUGAAAUACCUUCUUGUGAUUUUUGCUCUUAUUGCAUGUCUUUUUGGACUUUCUCAAGGAACAAUCUGUGCACGAGAUAGGAGAAGUCGAAAUUAUCAAAAUUUUCCUACAUAUACAGAAAUGGCCAGAGAGAAUGGUAGAGGUGGAGACUACGAAUUCGUACAUGAUGGACAUUGUUAAUUUCAUGGGGAUAUAUAUUGAUCAACGCAAAUAAAAUUCGUUUGAUAUAAUCUAAACAUCUGUUUCUUAAUCAGUUAUGUAAUAUUUUUUGUGUACGAUUAAAAAAAUACAUUCACACAGAAAA
Contarinia nasturtii (swede midge) is the source of this 355-nucleotide long non-coding RNA. RefSeq lists it as uncharacterized. The record is from RefSeq and is a predicted model, not a curated record. The transcript is spliced from 2 exons. NCBI's taxonomy places the organism in Eukaryota, Metazoa, Arthropoda, Insecta, Diptera, Cecidomyiidae.